AAAUUGAAGAGUUUGAUCAUGGCUCAGAUUGAACGCUGGCGGCAGGCCUAACACAUGCAAGUCGAACGGUAACAGGAAACAGCUUGCUGUUUCGCUGACGAGUGGCGGACGGGUGAGUAAUGUCUGGGAAACUGCCUGAUGGAGGGGGAUAACUACUGGAAACG
Molecule: ribosomal RNA, 164 nt
Filed under: Escherichia coli
Lineage: Bacteria; Pseudomonadati; Pseudomonadota; Gammaproteobacteria; Enterobacterales; Enterobacteriaceae
Also listed under: 2 other names
Description: partial 16S ribosomal RNA
Rfam family: Bacterial small subunit ribosomal RNA
Source: RNAcentral